This 253-nucleotide ribosomal RNA is filed under the name uncultured bacterium. RNAcentral describes it as "partial 16S ribosomal RNA". It matches the Rfam family "Bacterial small subunit ribosomal RNA", at positions 524 to 776 of the family's 1533-position model. The record is from RNAcentral.
UACGUAGGGUGCAAGCGUUAAUCGGAAUUACUGGGCGUAAAGCGCGUGUAGGCGGCCAGGUAGGUCCGAUGUGAAAUCUGGAGGCUCAACCUCCAGCGGUCAUUGGAAACCAUCUGGCUAGAGUCCGGAAGAGGAGAGUGGAAUUCCUGGUGUAGCGGUGAAAUGCGCAGAUAUCAGGAAGAACACCAAUGGCGAAGGCAGCUCUCUGGGACGGUACUGACGCUGAGACGCGAAAGCGUGGGGAGCAAACAGG